UACAGAGGUCUCAAGCGUUGUUCGGAUUCAUUGGGCGUAAGGGUGCGUAGGUGGCGCGCUAAGUCAGGUGUGAAAUCUCGGAGCUUAACUCCGAAACUGCAUUUGAUACUGGCGUGCUUGAGGACUGGAGAGGAGACUGGAAUUCACGGUGUAGCAGUGAAAUGCGUAGAUAUCGUGAGGAAGACCAGUGGCGAAGGCGGGUCUCUGGACAGUUCCUGACACUGAGGCACGAAGGCCAGGGGAGCAAACGGG
This 252-nucleotide ribosomal RNA is filed under the name uncultured bacterium. RNAcentral describes it as "partial 16S ribosomal RNA". It matches the Rfam family "Bacterial small subunit ribosomal RNA", at positions 524 to 776 of the family's 1533-position model. The record is from RNAcentral.